AUGUACCAUGAUGACAAAAUGGAAGCUAUUGACAAAAUAGGCGCACAAGUUACCGAUUUGAACAUAGAAGAUGGGAAAGCCAAACAAUGUGGAUCCGGUAGAAUGGCAUCUACGAAGAGCCUGCUAAAGAACCGUCAGUUGAUGUCAGCAAUAACCCUCUACUGUGUCUUCUCUCUUCAUGACACAGCUUAUCUCGAGAUAUUUUCGCUUUGGGCUGUGAGCAGUAGAAAAUAUCGGGGACUAAGUUUGACAUCUCAGGAUGUUGGCGCCGUGCUAGCUAUCUCAGGUUUUGGUGUUUUGGUGUAUCAACUUGUGAUUUAUCCACUCCUUGCCAAGUAUGCUGGGUUAAUCAAGCCAUUUCGUUCUGCAGCGGUAUUGUCUAUACUUCUGCUUACAACAUAUCCAUUCAUGGGCAGACUAUAUGGUGUGGAGCUCAAAGUACUCAUCAACAUAGCUUCACUUCUGAAGAAUAUGUUUGCGGCUACAAUUACUGUUGCGUGCAACAUUCUACAAAACACAGAAGUGAUACAAGAACAAAGGGGUGUUCCUAAUGGUAUCUCUAUGACUCUGAUGUCAAUCUUUAAAGCAGUAGCUCCAGCAGCCGGAGGAAUUUUGUUUUCAUGGGCUCAAAAGAACAUAACUGGAUUGUUCUUACCAGGUGAUCAUAUCUUGUUCUUCAUGCUGAACAUGGUGUCAGUAAUCGGGCUCUCGCUGACGUUCAAGCCAUUUUUCUCUAUGACGAGUGUGAUGAAAUGA
RNAcentral lists this ribosomal RNA (756 nucleotides) under Triticum aestivum (bread wheat). Its description in RNAcentral is "partial small subunit ribosomal RNA". The record is from RNAcentral. Lineage: Eukaryota; Viridiplantae; Streptophyta; Magnoliopsida; Poales; Poaceae.